This 402-nucleotide long non-coding RNA is filed under the name Capsella rubella. Its description in RNAcentral is "long non-coding RNA (CRUB_LNC003781)". The record is from RNAcentral. Lineage: Eukaryota; Viridiplantae; Streptophyta; Magnoliopsida; Brassicales; Brassicaceae.
UCGAUUUUGGAUAACAAUGUUUUAUUUUAAAAAUUAUUGUAGUAUAUAUUUUGUUAUCGUGUUAAUCUAAUAUUUAUCAUGAUAUGAAUACCAAAAUGUAUACUUAUCAUGAUAGUAUAUUAUUUAGCAUGCUAACUAAAUAGUUAUAGAGUGAUGAACAGUAGUUGUUGAUUUUGGAUAAUAGUGUUAUCGAUCGGUUUAUGAACAGUAUCGCUAACAUUUUUAAACUAAGUAAUCAUUUCAAUAUAAUGGCAUUUUUGUAAUUAAAAUUAAAAUAGAGGAUACAUAUGGUAAAAAAGAAAGAAAGAGAGAGAACUAAAUAUGAAAGAAAGAAGGAUACAUUUUUUUUUAGUUGGGUAUAUAGAUUAAAUUGACCCAUGAAAGUACUUUUCUAUAGAGGAG